AGAGUUUGAUCAUGGCUCAGAAUCAACGCUGGCGGCGUGCCUCAGACAUGCAAGUUGAACGCGAAAGUUCCCUUCGGGGGACAAGUAGAGUGGCGCACGGGUGAGUAACACGUAGGUAAUCUACCUUUGGGUGGGGAAUAACCCCGGGAAACCGGGGCUAAUACCGCAUAAUGCAGCGGCUCGACAUCGAGACAGUUGUUAAAGCGGGGGAUCCAAAAGACCUCGCGCCUGAAGAGGAGCCUGCGGCGGAUUAGCUAGUUGGUGAGGUAAUGGCUCACCAAGGCGACGAUCCGUAGCCGGCCUGAGAGGGCGGUCGGCCACACUGACACUGACAUACGGGUCAGACUCCUACGGGAGGCAGCAGUCGGGAAUUUUGGGCAAUGGGCGAAAGCCUGACCCAGCAACGCCGCGUGAAGGAUGAAAUCCCUCGGGAUGUAAACUUCGCAAGAACGGGAAGAAUAAGCCUGCGUGAAUAUCGCAGGUGAUGACGGUACCGUUUGUAAGCUCCGGCUAACUCCGUGCCAGCAGCCGCGGUAAUACGGGGGGAGCAAGCGUUGUUCGGAUUUACUGGGCGUAAAGGGCGCGUAGGCGGCCACCGCAAGUCAGUUGUGAAAUCUCCGGGCUUAACUCGGAAAGGUCAACUGAUACUGCGGGGCUAGAGUGCAGAAGGGGCAACUGGAAUUCUCGGUGCAGCGGUGAAAUGCGUAGAUAUCGAGAGGAACACCUGCGGCGAAGGCGGGUUGCUGGGCUGACACUGACGCUGAAGUGCGAAAGCUAGGGGAGCGAACGGGAUUAGAUACCCCUGUAGUCC
RNAcentral lists this ribosomal RNA (811 nucleotides) under uncultured bacterium. RNAcentral describes it as "bacterial SSU rRNA". It matches the Rfam family "Bacterial small subunit ribosomal RNA", at positions 8 to 796 of the family's 1533-position model. The record is from RNAcentral.